UCAGGAUGAACGCUGGCGGCGUGCUUAACACAUGCAAGUCGAGCGAAGCACUCUGGAAGAUUCUUCGGGAUGAUUCCUUAGUGACUUAGCGGCGGACGGGUGAGUAACGCGUGGGCAACCUGCCUUGUACAGGGGGAUAACAGUUAGAAAUGACUGCUAAUACCGCAUAAGCGCACAGCAUGGCAUCAUGCAGUGUGAAAAACUCCGGUGGUACAAGAUGGGCCCGCGUUGGAUUAGCUAGUUGGUGGGGUAACGGCCCACCAAGGCGACGAUCCAUAGCCGGACUGAGAGGUCGAACGGCCACAUUGGGACUGAGACACGGCCCAGACUCCUACGGGAGGCAGCAGUGGGGAAUAUUGCACAAUGGAGGAAACUCUGAUGCCAGCGACGCCGCGUGAGUGAUGAAGUAUUUCGGUAUGUAAAGCUCUAUCAGCAGGGAAGAAGACGACGGUACCUGACUAAGAAGCCCCGGCUAACUACGUGCCAGCCGCCGC
Molecule: ribosomal RNA, 494 nt
Filed under: uncultured bacterium
Lineage: Bacteria
Description: bacterial SSU rRNA
Rfam family: Bacterial small subunit ribosomal RNA
Source: RNAcentral